RNAcentral lists this ribosomal RNA (472 nucleotides) under uncultured bacterium. Its description in RNAcentral is "bacterial SSU rRNA". It matches the Rfam family "Bacterial small subunit ribosomal RNA", at positions 355 to 825 of the family's 1533-position model. The record is from RNAcentral.
UGGGGAAUAUUGGACAAUGGGGGAAACCCUGAUCCAGCGACGCCGCGUGUGUGAAGAAGGCCUGCGGGUUGUAAAGCACUUUCGGUGGGAACGAAAUAUGCCGGGCUAAUACCCCGGUAGGCUGACGUUACUCAAUGAAGAAGCACCGGCUAACUCUGUGCCAGCAGCCGCGGUAAUACAGAGGGUGCGAGCGUUAAUCGGAAUUACUGGGCGUAAAGCGCACGUAGGUGGCGACGUAAGUCGGGUGUGAAAGCCCCGGGCUCAACCUGGGAACUGCAUUCGAGACUGCGUUGCUGGAGUACGGAAGAGGAGGGCGGAAUUCCCGGUGUAGCGGUGAAAUGCGUAGAUAUCGGGAGGAACAUCAGUGGCGAAGGCGGCCCUCUGGUCCAGUACUGACACUCAAGUGCGAAAGCGUGGGGAGCAAACAGGAUUAGAUACCCGCGUAGUCCCUGAGCGGGCUGGCAAGGCGCAU